AUGAGGGCGGGGCCUCCGGGGAGGAAGCGGCUAGGGCGGACCGGUGGAGAGCCUCGGGGAGGAGGGGGCGGGGGAGAGGGCGGGGCCUGCGGGGAGGGCGGGGCCUCCAAGGGGAGGAGUCGGAGGGGCGGGAGAAGCGGAAGGGCUCGCGAAGGAGGCGGGGGUCGUGGAGGGGCGGAGAGGGCGGGGCCUACGGGGAGGGCGGGGCCUACGGGGAGGGCGGGGCCUCCAAGGGGAGGAGUCGGAGGGGCGGGAGAAGCGGAAGGGCUCGCGAAGGAGGCGGGGGGGGGGGGGCGGAGAGGGCGGGGCCGGCAGAGAGGGCGGGGCCUCCAGGGGGCGGAGUCGGAGGAGCGGGAGAAGCGGAAGGGCUCGCGAAGGAGGCGGGGUCGUGGAGGGGCGGAGAGGGCGGGGCCUGCGGAGAGGGCGGGGCCUCCAAGGGGAGGAGUCGGAGGGGCGGGAGAAGCGGAAGGGCUCGCGAAGGAGGCGGGGUCGUGGAGGGGCGGAGAGGGCGGGGCCUACGGGGAGGGCGGGGCCUACGGGGAGGGCGGGGCCUGCGGAGAGGGCGGGGCCUCCAAGGGGAGGAGUCGGAGGGGCGGGAGAAGCGGAAGGGCUCGCGAAGGAGGCGGGGUCAUGGAGGGGCGGAGAGGGCGGGGCCUGCGGGGAGGGCGGGGCCUGCGGAGAGGGCGGGGCCUCCAGGGGGCGGAGUCGGAGGUGCGGGAGAAGCGGAAGGGCUCGCGAAGGAGGCGGGGUCGUGGAGGGGCGGAGAGGGCGGGGCCUGCGGGGAGGGCGGGGCCUGCGGGGAGGGCGGGGCCUCCAGGGGGCGGAGUCGGAGGAGCGGGAGAAGCGGAAGGGCUCGCGAAGGAGGCGGGGUCGUGGAGGGGCGGAGAGGGCGGGGCCGCGGAAGGGCGGCGGAGGGGCGCGCCGAACCUUGGGGGGAACCUGAUGGAGGCGGGGCCAGCGGAGGCAACGGGGCGGGGUGAUCGCGGCCGCCGUGGGGGUCAAGGGGGCGCGCAGACAUCGCCUCCCAGCCGUAUUCCACCACCUCCGCCCGUAGCCCAUGCCCGCCGCUUCUUCCCGACGGACCUCAGGGCAGUUACCCGGCCUAGCGCAGUCCGGAUCCUUCGGGCUGGCGGCUCCAGGGACUUCGGAAGGAAGGGAGCACACUCCGGUGGACGAAGAGAAGUGAGUGUAUCGGCGCCUCGAGCGCUAAGAAAAGCCGCCGCGGUCCCGACUGUGCGGGCCAAUGAGGCUGCGCCCCUGCGGCCGGGCGGACGCACGCUGCCCAAUUAG
Molecule: long non-coding RNA, 1290 nt
Filed under: Canis lupus familiaris (dog)
Lineage: Eukaryota; Metazoa; Chordata; Mammalia; Carnivora; Canidae
Description: lncRNA (ENSCAFG00030004441.1)
Source: RNAcentral